RNAcentral lists this transfer RNA (75 nucleotides) under Ochrogaster lunifer (bag-shelter moth). Its description in RNAcentral is "transfer RNA-Asp". The record is from RNAcentral. Lineage: Eukaryota; Metazoa; Arthropoda; Insecta; Lepidoptera; Notodontidae.
AAAGAAUUAGUUAAAUAAUAACACAAAUAUGUCAAAUUUGAAUUAUUACUCAAUAUUUAAAUGUAAUAUUCUUUU